GAGUUUGAUCGUGGCUCAGGAUGAACGCUAGCGGCAGGCUUAAUACAUGCAAGUCGAACGGUAACUUUGGUAGCAAUAUUGAAGCAAGAGUGACGUACGGGUGCGUAACACGUAUGCAACCUACCUUGUACAGGAGUAUAGCUCGGGGAAACUCGAAUUAAUCCUCCAUAAGAUAGUGGUGAGGCAUCUCACAGCUAUAAAAACUGAGGUGGUACAAGAUGGGCAUGCGUCUGAUUAGUUAGUUGGUGGUGUAACGGACCACCAAGACGAUGAUCA
Molecule: ribosomal RNA, 276 nt
Filed under: uncultured Bacteroidota bacterium
Lineage: Bacteria; Pseudomonadati; Bacteroidota
Description: uncultured Bacteroidetes bacterium partial 16S ribosomal RNA
Rfam family: Bacterial small subunit ribosomal RNA
Source: RNAcentral